RNAcentral lists this long non-coding RNA (215 nucleotides) under Elaeis guineensis (African oil palm). RNAcentral describes it as "long non-coding RNA (EGUI_LNC017329)". The record is from RNAcentral. Lineage: Eukaryota; Viridiplantae; Streptophyta; Magnoliopsida; Arecales; Arecaceae.
AUACUAAUUAAUUUCAGAUUAGAUCUGAAUUAAUUAGACUUAAUUGGAUCUAAAAUUUAAGUUAGACUUGGUACAAAAAUCCUAAAGAGUUGGAGAUUGACAGACUUUCAAAAUUUUUUCGAUCCAACUUCGAAUUGGAUUCGAAUCAGAUCCAUUUUGGAUGAGAUAUUAGGAAUCUCACUUACACUAGAAUUCUCCUCUCUGUUGGACUGACC